AUUGAACGCUGGCGGCGUGCCUAACACAUGCAAGUCGAGCGGUAACAGGUGUAGCAAUACAUGCUGACGAGCGGCGGACGGGUGAGUAACGCUUGGGAAUCUGCCUAUUAGUGGGGGACAACCCGGGGAAACUCGGGCUAAUACCGCAUACGCUCUACGGAGGAAAGCCGGGGACCGCAAGGCCUGGCGCUAAUAGAUGAGCCCAAGUCGGAUUAGCUAGUUGGUAGGGGUAAUGGCCUACCAAGGCGACGAUCCGUAACUGGUCUGAGAGGACGACCAGUCACACCGGAACUGAGACACGGUCCGGACUCCUACGGGAGGCAGCAGUGGGGAAUAUUGGACAAUGGGCGAAAGCCUGAUCCAGCGACGCCGCGUGGGUGAAGAAGGCCUGCGGGUUGUAAAGCCCUUUCAGUGGGGAAGAAAAGCCUCGACCUAACACGUCGGGGUCUUGACGUAACCCAUAGAAGAAGCACCGGCUAACUCUGUGCCAGCAGCAGCCG
RNAcentral lists this ribosomal RNA (500 nucleotides) under uncultured bacterium. Its description in RNAcentral is "bacterial SSU rRNA". It matches the Rfam family "Bacterial small subunit ribosomal RNA", at positions 29 to 520 of the family's 1533-position model. The record is from RNAcentral.